This is a transfer RNA of 82 nucleotides. It matches the Rfam family "tRNA". Rfam says of the family: Transfer RNA (tRNA) molecules are approximately 80 nucleotides in length. Their secondary structure includes four short double-helical elements and three loops (D, anti-codon, and T loops). The record is from Rfam.
UCUUUCGUAGUAUAGUGGUCAGUAUGCGAGCUUGUCAUCAAACACAACGCUCGAGACCCGGGUUCAAUUCCCGGCGAGAGAG